This 422-nucleotide ribosomal RNA is filed under the name Escherichia coli. RNAcentral describes it as "partial 23S ribosomal RNA". It matches the Rfam family "Bacterial large subunit ribosomal RNA", at positions 2219 to 2640 of the family's 2925-position model. Lineage: Bacteria; Pseudomonadati; Pseudomonadota; Gammaproteobacteria; Enterobacterales; Enterobacteriaceae. The record is from RNAcentral.
GUUCUAACGUUGACCCGUAAUCCGGGUUGCGGACAGUGUCUGGUGGGUAGUUUGACUGGGGCGGUCUCCUCCUAAAGAGUAACGGAGGAGCACGAAGGUUGGCUAAUCCUGGUCGGACAUCAGGAGGUUAGUGCAAUGGCAUAAGCCAGCUUGACUGCGAGCGUGACGGCGCGAGCAGGUGCGAAAGCAGGUCAUAGUGAUCCGGUGGUUCUGAAUGGAAGGGCCAUCGCUCAACGGAUAAAAGGUACUCCGGGGAUAACAGGCUGAUACCGCCCAAGAGUUCAUAUCGACGGCGGUGUUUGGCACCUCGAUGUCGGCUCAUCACAUCCUGGGGCUGAAGUAGGUCCCAAGGGUAUGGCUGUUCGCCAUUUAAAGUGGUACGCGAGCUGGGUUUAGAACGUCGUGAGACAGUUCGGUCCCUA